AAUGUCAGUUCCUCGUACCAAUUUGGUCAUUCUCUACAGACAUGCAUUGCACAGUUGCUGCAUUUUCGAAGAGUCAGCCCGACUACCAAUUCUGGGCCACGAGGUGGACCAACCGAAGAAGCAUGAAGUGUGUGCAGGUCUCCUGAUGGACUUAAUUUAGACAGAUUUCACAGUUCAGGUGCUAAGAAUAAGAGGUUGCUUUGGAGUUUCCUGUGCAUCUUCUGUAUGAUGUGAAGCCUGGUAGACUUCAACCCACAGGAGCUGCUGGACUAACAGCCUAGGAUGUUGCUGCUGCAAAUAUUCUGGUGGCCGUACAUCUUUAGUACUACUGCUACUGCCAAAUUGCAAGCGAUAUCGUCUUUUUAAAGGCUAGAAACAGGAUGUCUCAAUGAUUCAACUCUCGGUCUUCUGGAAUCCCCUUUAUCCUUAGCAGGUCGUACCUAGCUGUCGUGACAUAGUUGGACGUUAACGAUCAGGUCGAUACUUGGCAGCUUCAUCUGUCACUACCUUACAGCGCGACAUGCAUAUACGUGUGGAAUGUUUUCAGUUGUUAGGAGACUGCUAUUCUUCCGUGGUGCUCAUGCCGUGCCUUCUGUGUCUAGCUCAUUCUUGGAUAUCCUUUCAUUGUUGAAAUUAAAAAUACAAAUUUCAGUGAGUGUCUUAA
Molecule: long non-coding RNA, 664 nt
Filed under: Daphnia pulicaria
Lineage: Eukaryota; Metazoa; Arthropoda; Branchiopoda; Diplostraca; Daphniidae
Description: uncharacterized LOC124328783, transcript variant X3
Source: RNAcentral